CCUACGGGAGGCAGCAGUGGGGGAUAUUGCACAAUGGGGGAAACCCUGAUGCAGCGACGCCGCGUGUGGGAAGACGGUCCUCUGGAUUGUAAACCACUGUCCCCAGGGACGAAGAUGACGGUACCUGGGGAGGAACCUCCGGCUAACUACGUGCCAGCAGCAGCGGUAAUACGAAGGGAGCGAGCGUUGUCCGGAAUUACUGGGUGUAAGGGGAGGGUAGGCGGGACUGCAAGUUGGGUGUCAAAUCUACCGGCUCAACCGGUAGCCGCACUCAAAACUGCAGUUCUUGAGUGAAGUAGAGGCAGGCGGAAUUCCUAGUGUAGCGGUGAAAUGCGUAGAUAUUAGGAGGAACACCAGUGGCGAAGGCGGCCUGCUGGGCUUUUACUGACGCUGAGGCUCGAAAGUGUGGGGAGCAAACAGGAUUAGAUACCCUUGUAGUC
Molecule: ribosomal RNA, 440 nt
Filed under: uncultured bacterium
Lineage: Bacteria
Description: partial 16S ribosomal RNA
Rfam family: Bacterial small subunit ribosomal RNA
Source: RNAcentral